AGCAGUGUGGCUUAGUGGAAAGAGCAUGGGCUUGGGAGUCAGAGGUCAUGGGUUCGAAUCCCAACUCUUCCA
Molecule: transfer RNA, 72 nt
Filed under: Ornithorhynchus anatinus (platypus)
Lineage: Eukaryota; Metazoa; Chordata; Mammalia; Monotremata; Ornithorhynchidae
Rfam family: tRNA
About the family: Transfer RNA (tRNA) molecules are approximately 80 nucleotides in length. Their secondary structure includes four short double-helical elements and three loops (D, anti-codon, and T loops). Further hydrogen bonds mediate the characteristic L-shaped molecular structure. tRNAs have two regions of fundamental functional importance: the anti-codon, which is responsible for specific mRNA codon recognition, and the 3' end, to which the tRNAs corresponding amino acid is attached (by aminoacyl-tRNA synthetases). tRNAs cope with the degeneracy of the genetic code in two manners: having more than one tRNA (with a specific anti-codon) for a particular amino acid; and 'wobble' base-pairing, i.e. permitting non-standard base-pairing at the 3rd anti-codon position.
Source: Rfam by way of RNAcentral